UUGAACGCUGGCGGCAGGCCUAACACAUGCAAGUCGAACGGUAACAGGAUGAAGCUUGCUUCUUUGCUGACGAGUGGCGGACGGGUGAGUAAUGUCUGGGAAACUGCCUGAUGGAGGGGGAUAACUACUGGAAACGGUAGCUAAUACCGCAUAACGUCGCAAGACCAAAGAGGGGGACCUUCGGGCCUCUUGCCAUCGGAUGUGCCCAGAUGGGAUUAGCUAGUAGGUGGGGUAACGGCUCACCUAGGCGACGAUCCCUAGCUGGUCUGAGAGGAUGACCAGCCACACUGGAACUGAGACACGGUCCAGACUCCUACGGGAGGCAGCAGUGGGGAAUAUUGCACAAUGGGCGCAAGCCUGAUGCAGCCAUGCCGCGUGUAUGAAGAAGGCCUUCGGGUUGUAAAGUACUUUCAGCGGGGAGGAAGGGAGUAAAGUUAAUACCUUUACUCAUUGACGUUACCCGCAGAAGAAGCACCGGCUAACUCCGUG
Molecule: ribosomal RNA, 489 nt
Filed under: uncultured bacterium
Lineage: Bacteria
Description: partial 16S ribosomal RNA
Rfam family: Bacterial small subunit ribosomal RNA
Source: RNAcentral